Nyctereutes procyonoides (raccoon dog) is the source of this 2290-nucleotide long non-coding RNA. RefSeq lists it as uncharacterized. The record is from RefSeq and is a predicted model, not a curated record. The transcript has 5 exons. NCBI's taxonomy places the organism in Eukaryota, Metazoa, Chordata, Mammalia, Carnivora, Canidae.
GCAACCAGGGGAAGAUGGGGACAGGGUGCAGGGAAGCUUGAGUGGGCCAAGGAUCACCUUGGAAAUCUGGAGUCUGGCAGGAGUGGCAUAGGGUAGAGGGCGGCUUGGGCCGGGCUGGCAGGCACCUGGCGGGCGAGUGGCAUAGGGGCCCGGGUGUCUGGGAGUCUGGGUCACAUCGGCAUGACGUGUGGCGGGCCCAAGCUGGGGGUGUAGAGGAAAGAGGGGGGAGCCAGGCAUUCAUCCCGGUCAGUUUUUGGUUUCAGGACGUGGCGGCUGGUGGACAAGGGGAGCCGAAGAGGGGUUCGCCCGGGACCUGGGUGGUGGGCUGCAGCUGGCAGCCGCAAGCAAGUGAGGACAGCUGCCUGUCGGCCAGGUGAGUCCCCUCCCCUCCCUGGGCCUUGCUCUGCUGGCCUUCUGCAGAAGGAGGUGGCAGGGAGCAAGGACCAGCGAGGAGAAGCGGCUGGCCUCCCGGCAGAGCAGCAGGACGAAGGAGGGCAGUCAGGACAGGUGACAUCGUCUCAGGGGGAGCUGAGACAGUGGGGGCUGGGGAGCUGGGGGUCCUUCCCAGGUAGAAAGAGUAUUUCAGGAGGGUGGGCAGGAGACGAGGCGGGGCUGCCAGCGAGGAAGGUGCUGAGGCGACCGCCUUUAUGGAGGUGACAGGUGGCCAUGGGGAUCCAGCAUGUGCGGGGACACCAAGCCCGGGUCGGACAGGAGGAGGUGGGGACUCAGGACGUAACAGGGUCCCCAGCCGCCACCACAUCUCACCCACCGAAAUUCAUUUAGUAGCAGGUACAGGAGCGGCUCUGGCUCGGGCCUCCCAAGGCCAGUGCUGGAGCUUCGAGGGCCGGAGAGCGGGAACGAAGGAGCAGUGCGCGGGGCGCCCGCAGCAGGGUGUCACCUGGAGGGAACGGCGGCCGCAGGAUCGGGCUCUGGAGAGAUUUCUGCAGCGAGGAGGCUGCCGUGGGCCCAGCCUGCGGGUGGCCGUUCCCACGUGGCACUGCGGCCCAGGGGCGGGCGCGGAGAGGGCCCACAGUGCACUCGGUGACACUGUAUGCCCUCACCGCUCAGCCCCUGGGUCUGGCGUGACGGACAGGACAGCGUCCAGGGGAGUCAAGGGCACAGGCGAGACCAGACUAGGCGAGGAGUGUGGGGCGGAGUGAGUGAGACCUCUGGCGGGGGGUCGGGGCGCAGGCAGGGGCGAAGAGCAGGAGCCUGGCGGCGAGCCAGGGGAGCACUGGCCUCCAGAGCUCGGGGCCAAGGCGGGCCUCUGCGGGCUUCGACGGAGCAGGGAUCGGUGCCUCUGGGAUCGGACUGGAGAUGAGGCCAGGUCUCCAGUUCGGGUGGUGAGCCCGCCAGCCACCGAAGGCCGGGCGCGAGGCUGCGCUCAGAGGGAUAAGACAUGGUCCGGUGUGACGGUGAGGACAGACGUGAUGCCGUCCGGCCUUCCUGAACAUUCUAGCCUGGCACCGCGGGGAGUCAGAACACCCACGGCUCUCGUUCCUUUGCGUUCCUGAAGGAGUCAACACACUGCUGCUCUCUGGACCCCUAUAACCCUCAAACUGACAAGAAAUGGUGCUACCCAGCUCAUGCCUGGGCCUUGGAAAUCGGACUUCUUCAAGUCCUUCUAGCUCUGACGCAAGAAGAUGCUGCAUUCUGGAACCACUACACUACUUGACUCAGGAAUCGGCUCUGGAAGGUGACGCAAAAGGAACGAGAGCAACCUGACCACAACACCGUCGGCAGCGAGCAGCCUCCGUGGCAGCCGCCACCCACCCCUCCUGGCAAUGUCAUCCCCGUGGCCACCCUGCCAUGGCCAGGCGACCACCAGCCGCCACGCCCCAUGCCCCUCGCCCUCUUUCUCUUCUUCCUUUCCUGUGUUCUCUCAUUUCCUUUCUUUCCUUUCCUUUUUGCUCGGGAGACUCAAAGCCCCCAUGACUCUGUUUCCCCGUCCCUCCUGAAUUUAAUUUGCACUAAGUCGUUUGCACUGGUUUGGAGUCUUGGAUCUGGCCUUGAGUUCCCGAGCGUGUGUGCAAGCAAGCUGCUGAGUGCACCUGGCCUCCUGUGGCCCGCAGCGCCCGGCACCCACCUUCCGUCCAUCUCUGUGUGGGGGUGCCCGGGUGCGGCUGAGCGCGUGAGGCCCCACCCCCCCUUGCCUAGUCUGGAAGCUCCUAACACCGAGCAGACCUUGAAGCAUUCCAUUGUAGCAUGACUCGCUCUGUGCCCCUCCCCACCAGGGCUUCACCAGGAGCCCUGGACUCAUCAAUAAACACAGUUACAGCAAUUUGUCUCA